RNAcentral lists this ribosomal RNA (301 nucleotides) under uncultured bacterium. Its description in RNAcentral is "partial 16S ribosomal RNA". It matches the Rfam family "Bacterial small subunit ribosomal RNA", at positions 509 to 807 of the family's 1533-position model. The record is from RNAcentral.
CAGUAGCCGCGGUAAUACGUAGGGUGCAAGCGUUAAUCGGAAUUACUGGGCGCAAAGCGUGCGCAGGCGGCUAUGCAAGACAGAUGUGAAAUCCCCGGGCUCAACCUGGGAACUGCAUUUGUGACUGCAUGGCUAGAGUACGGUAGAGGGGGAUGGAAUUCCGCGUGUAGCAGUGAAAUGCGUAGAUAUGCGGAGGAACGCCGAUGGCGAAGGCAAUCCCCUGGACCUGUACUGACGCUCAUGCACGAAAGCGUGGGGAGCAAACAGGAUUAGAGACCCCUGUAGUCCCUGUCUCUUAUAC